Molecule: ribosomal RNA, 301 nt
Filed under: uncultured bacterium
Lineage: Bacteria
Description: partial 16S ribosomal RNA
Rfam family: Bacterial small subunit ribosomal RNA
Source: RNAcentral
CAGUACCACGGUAAUACAGAGGGUGCGAGCGUUAAUCGGAUUUACUGGGCGUAAAGCGUGCGUAGGCGGCUUCUUAAGUCGGAUGUGAAAUCCCUGAGCUUAACUUAGGAAUUGCAUUCGAUACUGGGAAGCUAGAGUAUGGGAGAGGAUGGUAGAAUUCCAGGUGUAGCGGUGAAAUGCGUAGAGAUCUGGAGGAAUACCGAUGGCGAAGGCAGCCAUCUGGCCUAAUACUGACGCUGAGGUACGAAAGCAUGGGGAGCAAACAGGAUUAGAUACCCGCGUAGUCCCUGUCUCUUAUACC